This 253-nucleotide ribosomal RNA is filed under the name uncultured bacterium. Its description in RNAcentral is "partial 16S ribosomal RNA". It matches the Rfam family "Bacterial small subunit ribosomal RNA", at positions 524 to 776 of the family's 1533-position model. The record is from RNAcentral.
UACGUAGGGUGCAAGCGUUAAUCGGAAUUACUGGGCGUAAAGCGUGCGCAGGCGGCUUUGCAAGACAGAUGUGAAAUCCCCGGGCUUAACCUGGGAACUGCAUUUGUGGCUGCAUGGCUGGAGUGCGGCAGAGGGGGAUGGAAUUCCGCGUGUAGCAGUGAAAUGCGUAGAUAUGCGGAGGAACACCGAUGGCGAAGGCAAUCCCCUGGGCCUGCACUGACGCUCAUGCACGAAAGCGUGGGGAGCAAACAGG